This 442-nucleotide ribosomal RNA is filed under the name uncultured bacterium. RNAcentral's name for it is "bacterial SSU rRNA". It matches the Rfam family "Bacterial small subunit ribosomal RNA", at positions 958 to 1400 of the family's 1533-position model. The record is from RNAcentral.
AACGCGAAGAACCUUACCUGCCCUUGACAUCCUGCGAAGUGCCCUGAGAGGGGCAUGUGCCGAAAGGAACGCAGAGACAGGUGCUGCAUGGCUGUCGUCAGCUCGUGUUGUGAGAUGUUGGGUUAAGUCCCGUAACGAGCGCAACCCUUGUUCCUAGUUACCAACGCGUAGAGGCGGGGACUCUAGGGAGACUGCUGGUGAAGAACCGGAGGAAGGCGGGGACGACGUCAAGUCAUCAUGGCCUUUAUGGGCAGGGCCACACACGUGCUACAAUGGGGCGUACAGAAGGGAGCGAGCCUGAGAAGGGGAGCAAAUCCGACAAAGCGCCUCGUAGUCCGGAUUGAAGUCUGCAACUCGACUUCAUGAAGCUGGAAUCGCUAGUAAUCGCGAAUCAGAAUGUCGCGGUGAAUACGUUCCCGGGCCUUGUACACACCGUAGAGAC